Molecule: small nucleolar RNA, 76 nt
Filed under: Beta vulgaris subsp. vulgaris (sugar beet)
Lineage: Eukaryota; Viridiplantae; Streptophyta; Magnoliopsida; Caryophyllales; Amaranthaceae
Also listed under: 1 other name
Description: snoRNA SNORD24
Rfam family: Small nucleolar RNA SNORD24
About the family: U24 is a member of the C/D class of snoRNA which contain the C (UGAUGA) and D (CUGA) box motifs. C/D box snoRNAs have been shown to act as methylation guides for a number of RNA targets. U24 is encoded within an intron of the gene for ribosomal protein L7a in mammals, chicken and Fugu.
Source: Rfam by way of RNAcentral
UUUUGAUGAUGUAUUCUAUAUAUUUGCUACUCUUGAAUCUAUUUGAUGACACGAUUCCACCAAGAUCUCUGAGUUU